ACAACUUUCAGCAACGGAUCUCUUGGCUCUCGCAUCGAUGAAGAACGCAGCGAAUUGCGAUAAGUAAUGUGAAUUGCAGAUUUCCAGUGAAUCAUCGAAUCUUUGAACGCACCUUGCGCUCCUUGGUAUUCCGAGGAGCAUGCCUGUUU
RNAcentral lists this ribosomal RNA (149 nucleotides) under Paxillus sp. DI-2003a. RNAcentral's name for it is "partial 5.8S ribosomal RNA". It matches the Rfam family "5.8S ribosomal RNA". From Rfam's summary of the family: 5.8S ribosomal RNA (5.8S rRNA) is a component of the large subunit of the eukaryotic ribosome. It is transcribed by RNA polymerase I as part of the 45S precursor that also contains 18S and 28S rRNA. The record is from RNAcentral. Lineage: Eukaryota; Fungi; Basidiomycota; Agaricomycetes; Boletales; Paxillaceae.